Molecule: ribosomal RNA, 600 nt
Filed under: Amolops shihaitaoi (Hekou torrent frog)
Lineage: Eukaryota; Metazoa; Chordata; Amphibia; Anura; Ranidae
Description: partial 16S ribosomal RNA
Rfam family: Archaeal large subunit ribosomal RNA (bases 344-592)
Source: RNAcentral
UUAUUUGAAAAAGGCUACAACCUACAAUACCGGGUUAAUAUUGAUUUUAUUAAUAAAGUGGGCCUAAGAGCAGCCAUCUUAUAGAAAGCGUUAAAGCUCAACUAUCUCCUCUCUCAAAUUCCAAAAAUUAUCUUCAACCCUUCAUUACUACUGAACUAUUUUAUAUCUUUAUAAAAGUUAUUAUGCUAGAACUAGUAACAAGAAUUAGCCCUUCUCCAAAAUGCACACUUAAGCCAAAAUGGACACCCCAUUGGCAGUUACCGCAAAUGCACCCAUUAUAGUACCUCCCACUAGACAACUCUAUAACCCUAAGCGUUAACCUGACACUAGAGCAUUACAGGAAAGAUUAAAAGAGAAAGAAGGAACUCGGCAAAUCUCGGUCCCGCCUGUUUACCAAAAACAUCGCCUCUUGACCAAAUAUAAGAGGUCCAGCCUGCCCACUGACAUAGUUUAACGGCCGCGGUACCCUAACCGUGCGAAGGUAGCAUAAUCACUUGUUCUUUAAAUAAGGACUUGUAUCAACGGCAUCACGAGGACUAUACUGUCUCCUUUCUCCAAUCAGUGAAACUGAUCUCCCCGUGAAGAAGCGGGGAUUACCCU